Molecule: small nuclear RNA, 107 nt
Organism: Gorilla gorilla gorilla (western lowland gorilla)
Lineage: Eukaryota; Metazoa; Chordata; Mammalia; Primates; Hominidae
Source: Ensembl
AUGCUCACUUUGGCAGCACAUAUGCUAAAAUUGAAACGAUACAGAGAGGAGUAGUGUGGCCCCUGGACAAGGAUGACAUGCAUAUUUGUGAAGCAUUCCAUCUUUUU